This 278-nucleotide ribosomal RNA is filed under the name uncultured Staphylococcus sp. RNAcentral's name for it is "partial 16S ribosomal RNA". It matches the Rfam family "Bacterial small subunit ribosomal RNA", at positions 83 to 355 of the family's 1533-position model. The record is from RNAcentral. Lineage: Bacteria; Bacillati; Bacillota; Bacilli; Caryophanales; Staphylococcaceae.
CCUUUGACGUUAGCGGCGGACGGGUGAGUAACACGUGGGUAACCUACCUAUAAGACUGGGAUAACUUCGGAAACCGGAGCUAAUACCGGAUAAUAUUUCGAACCGCAUGGUUCGAUAGUGAAAGGUGGUUUUGCUAUCACUUAUAGAUGGACCCGCGCCGUAUUAGCUAGUUGGUAAGGUAACGGCUUACCAAGGCGACGAUACGUAGCCGACCUGAGAGGGUGAUCGGCCACACUGGAACUGAGACACGGUCCAGACUCCUACGGGAGGCAGCAGCC